CACGUAGGGGGCAAGCGUUGUCCGGAUUUAUUGGGCGUAAAGAGCUCGUAGGCUGUUCGAUAAGUCGGGUGUGAAACCUCCAGGCUCAACCUGGAGACGCCACCCGAUACUGUCAUGACUAGAGUCCGGUAGGGGAGCGUGGAAUUCCUGGUGUAGCGGCGAAAUGCGCAGAUAUCAGGAGGAACACCAGCGGCGAAGGCGGCGCUCUGGGCCGGUACUGACGCUGAGGAGCGAAAGCGUGGGGAGCAAACAGG
Molecule: ribosomal RNA, 254 nt
Filed under: uncultured bacterium
Lineage: Bacteria
Description: partial 16S ribosomal RNA
Rfam family: Bacterial small subunit ribosomal RNA
Source: RNAcentral